This 516-nucleotide ribosomal RNA is filed under the name uncultured bacterium. RNAcentral's name for it is "bacterial SSU rRNA". It matches the Rfam family "Bacterial small subunit ribosomal RNA", at positions 16 to 518 of the family's 1533-position model. The record is from RNAcentral.
AUCAUGGCUCAGGAUGAACGCUAGGCACGAGGCUAACACAUGCAAGUCGAGGGGCAGCACGGGAGUAGCAAUACAACUGGUGGCGACCGGCGCGACGGGUGAGUAACGCGUAUGCAACCUACCUAUCAGGAGGGGAAUAACCCGGCGAAAGUCGGACUAAUACCGCAUAAACAGGGGCACCGCAUGGUGAUAUUUGUUAAAGAAAUUCGCUGAUAGACGGGCAUGCGUUCCAUUAGGUAGUUGGUGAGGUAACGGCUCACCAAGCCGACGAUGGAUAGGGGAACUGAGAGGUUGGUCCCCCACACUGGUACUGAGACACGGACCAGACUCCUACGGGAGGCAGCAGUGAGGAAUAUUGGUCAAUGGGCGAGAGCCUGAACCAGCCAAGUCGCGUGGAAAAGGAAGAAGGAUCUAUGGUUACGUAAACUUCUUUUGCAGGGGAAUAAAGUGCAGGACGUGUCCUGUUUUGUAUGUACCCUGAGAAUAAGGAUCGGCUAACUCCGUGCCAGCAGCGGC